UACGGAGGGGCGAGCGUUAUUCGGAAUUAUUGGCGUAAGGGCGCGUAGGCGGCCCUGUAAGUCAAAGGUGAAUCCCUCGGCUCAACUGAGGACUGCCUUGAACUGCAGGCUUGAGGCCGGGAGGGGUAGCGGAAUCCCAAUGGUAGCGGUGAAAUGCGUAGAUAUUGGGAGGAACACCAGUGGCGAAGGCGGCUACCUGGACCGGUCUGGACGCUGAG
RNAcentral lists this ribosomal RNA (218 nucleotides) under uncultured bacterium. Its description in RNAcentral is "partial 16S ribosomal RNA". It matches the Rfam family "Bacterial small subunit ribosomal RNA", at positions 524 to 750 of the family's 1533-position model. The record is from RNAcentral.